Molecule: non-coding RNA, 219 nt
Organism: Pelobates cultripes (western spadefoot toad)
Lineage: Eukaryota; Metazoa; Chordata; Amphibia; Anura; Pelobatidae
Source: the annotation of a GenBank genome assembly
AUGUACAGCACUAAACAGCAGGAAAGUGUCAUUGCUAAAAGCAUAUACCAAUUAUUUUCACAGAGUAGCAAACAAAACUGCUGGGGCAAUAUAUAUGUUGACCAAACUGAGUUAACUCGAAAAUGUACUGACUUAACUUAUGGAUUGACAAAUCAAGCAGGUCAUCUUUUGUUUUCAAACAUUGGCAAGCGAAUUGUUCAAAUUAUGACUGACCCAAGA